AGUGAACGCUGGCGGUAGGCCUAACACAUGCAAGUCGAACGGCAGCACAGUAAGAGCUUGCUCUUCGGGUGGCGAGUGGCGGACGGGUGAGGAAUACAUCGGAAUCUACUUUUUCGUGGGGGAUAGCGUAGGGAAACUUACGCUAAUACCGCAUACGACCUACGGGUGAAAGCAGGGGAUCUUCGGACCUUGCGCGAUUGAAUGAGCCGAUGUCGGAUUAGCUAGUUGGCGGGGUAAAGGCCCACCAAGGCGACGAUCCGUAGCUGGUCUGAGAGGAUGAUCAGCCACACUGGAACUGAGACACGGUCCAGACUCCUACGGGAGGCAGCAGUGGGGAAUAUUGGACAAUGGGCGCAAGCCUGAUCCAGCCAUACCGCGUGGGUGAAGAAGGCCUUCGGGUUGUAAAGCCCUUUUGUUGGGAAAGAAAAGCAGCAGGUUAAUACCCCGCUGUUCUGACGGUACCCAAAGAAUAAGCACCGGCUAACUUCGUG
This 491-nucleotide ribosomal RNA is filed under the name uncultured bacterium. Its description in RNAcentral is "partial 16S ribosomal RNA". It matches the Rfam family "Bacterial small subunit ribosomal RNA", at positions 29 to 507 of the family's 1533-position model. The record is from RNAcentral.